This 434-nucleotide long non-coding RNA is filed under the name Pan troglodytes (chimpanzee). RNAcentral's name for it is "lincRNA". Lineage: Eukaryota; Metazoa; Chordata; Mammalia; Primates; Hominidae. The record is from RNAcentral.
UUAGUUUGAGGACUUUAGCUCUGAGAGGUUUCAGGAUUCAGUCCAAAAUGCAGAAAACAAUAAAAAGCUCAAAAACAAUGGACAAGACUAGAAUUUAACAACAGGGUCUCAAGCCACCCAGGCUGGAGUGCAGUGGCACAAUUAUGGCUCACUGUAGCCUCAACUUCCUGGAAUCAAGCAAUCCUCUUUCUUCAGCCUCCAGAGGAGCUGGGACCACAGAUCCUUUGGCAUUUGAGAGUUGCUUUUUGUAUACAGCCCUUUAACGGAGCAAAUGGCCAGCCAGGAAACCAAAGUGUGGACAAGGGGAAAGAAGCAUCUGUGGAGGAAGUUCUACAAGCAACCCUCCUCAUCCAUGUGGGUGGCGUUGCCCAUAUGCUACAUGUCUGUGGACCACUAUGUGUGUUUAAAGCUUUUUAGUAAAACGUUACUAAAAA